GAUUUCUGGCUGUGGUUAAAAUGUCCGCGUUCCAACGGGAUGUGAGUUUACGUUUUGACCCGGUCAAAAUUUCUGGAAUUCCGCAAUGCUCUUUAUUGAGUUGUUGCGUGAGAUCCAGAUCGUUUACUUUGAGAAAAUUAGAGUGUUCAAGGCAGGCAUUUUUGCCGUGAAUAUGCUAGCAUGGAAUAAUAAGAUAGGGCUUUGGUCGUAUUUUGUUGGUUUCUACAGCCGAAGUAAUGAUUGAUAGGGAUAGUUGGGGGUGCUAGUAUUCUGCGGCCAGAGGUGAAAUUCUGUGAUUCGCGGAGGACUGACUUAUGCGAAAGCAUU
Molecule: ribosomal RNA, 327 nt
Filed under: uncultured Endomyxa
Lineage: Eukaryota; Cercozoa
Description: SSU rRNA
Rfam family: Eukaryotic small subunit ribosomal RNA
Source: RNAcentral